RNAcentral lists this unclassified non-coding RNA (430 nucleotides) under soil metagenome. Its description in RNAcentral is "partial contains 5.8S ribosomal RNA, internal transcribed spacer 2, and large subunit ribosomal RNA". The stretch from base 1 to 120 matches the Rfam family "5.8S ribosomal RNA", at positions 35 to 154 of the family's 154-position model. The record is from RNAcentral.
GAUGAAGAACGCAGCGAAAUGCGAUACGUAAUGUGAAUUGCAGAAUUCAGUGAAUCAUCGAAUCUUUGAACGCAUAUUGCGCUCUCUGGUAUUCCGGAGAGCAUGCUUGUUUGAGUAUCAGUAAACACCUCAACUCCCUUUUCUUUUUUGAAAUUGGAGCUGGACUUGAGUGAUCCCAACGCUUUCUUCCAAGAAAGUGGCGGGUCGCUUGAAAUGCAGGUGCAGCUGAACUUUUCUCUGAGCUAUAAGCAUAUCUAUUUAGUCUGCCUAAAAAACAGAUUAUUACCUUUGCUGCAGCUAACAUAAAGGAGACUAGUUCUUGUGCUGACUGAUGCAGGAUUCACAGAGACAGCUUCGGCUGACUUUGUAAACUCGAUCUCAAAUCAAGUAAGACUACCCGCUGAACUUAAGCAUAUCAAUAAGCGGAGGA